AUUGAACGCUGGCGGCAGGCCUAACACAUGCAAGUCGAACGGCAGCACAGAAGAGCUUGCUCUUUGGGUGGCGAGUGGCGGACGGGUGAGUAAUGUCUGGGAAACUGCCCGAUGGAGGGGGAUAACUACUGGAAACGGUAGCUAAUGCCGCAUAACGUCGCGAGACCAAAGUGGGGGACCUUCGGGCCUCACACCAUCGGAUGUGCCCAGAUGGGAUUAGCUAGUAGGUGGGGUAAUGGCUCACCUAGGUGACGAUCCCUAGCUGGUCUGAGAGGAGGACCAGCCACACUGGAACUGAGACACGGUCCAGACUCCUACGGGAGGCAGCAGUGGGGAAUAUUGCACAAUGGGCGCAAGCCUGAUGCAGCCAUGCCGCGUGUAUGAAGAAGGCCUUCGGGUUGUAAAGUACUUUCAGCGGGGAGGAAGGCGGUGAGGUUAAUAACCUCGCCGAUUGACGUUACCCGCAGAAGAAGCACCGGCUAACUCCGUGCCAGCCGCCGCAGUAA
This 506-nucleotide ribosomal RNA is filed under the name uncultured bacterium. RNAcentral describes it as "partial 16S ribosomal RNA". It matches the Rfam family "Bacterial small subunit ribosomal RNA", at positions 29 to 523 of the family's 1533-position model. The record is from RNAcentral.